AUGGCUGAAGCAUGCCCUGAUAGUCGGCGAUGCCUACCUGCUUGGAUGAUGAAACCCUGCUCGAGUAAUGAGGUGUCAAAGACUGAGCAUCGGAAUAAGCAGUCGGCGGAAUCUGAUAAGGGAUCAGGGGCUCUAGAUCAGGCUAAGCCCAUCAGAAGGCAGAAAAAAAUUGUGGAUCCAGAGGAUGCUGGUGGACUGAAGGCGUUGCAGCGAUGCCAGGGUAAAGAAAAGGCCAGGAGAAAGAGCAAGGAUGCUGAUCGUGCUGUCACGGAUGAAUUUGGCGAAAUCGAGAAAAUAACUUGUAAGAAUGAGAGGAAAGUUAGUGGAAGAGCUGCUCCGAAGAAUAGCAGGAAGCGGAUGCUGGAGGAUGUGGGAUCAGAUGCAUCGUCAUCAGGAAUAACUGAUGAUGAGAUGGAGCUCAGUGCUGGCAAUUCCAGAGCUUUGCAACGAUGUCAGGGUAGAGAAAAGACCAGAAGAAAGCGCGACAGUGCUGAUUAUUCUGCCAAAGAUGAACUUGAAGAAAUUGAGAAAACAACUCGUAAGAAUGUGACAAAAGUGACUUGCAGAGCUGCUCCAAAGAAUAGCAAGAAACAAAAGCCGGAUAAUGUUGGAUCAGAAACAUUGUCAUCAGGUACAACUGAUGAUGAGAUAGAGCUUACUGUGGAAGAUCUUGUGAGCAUAGCUGAAGAGAUUGUAAAUGCUGAUAAAGAGAAGCUACAAGAUAUACGGGCCACAAAGACAGCCCGCUAUGAAGAGCGUCCUCCACGGCCUCCAAUCUCUACUCCUGCUGAUACAGGAGGAUCAACAUCAAGCACUUGGUCAACAAAGGGGUUGAUGCAGUGCACGGCAGCUACUACCACAGAUGAAACUCCAAGCGAGUGCAGAGUAGACAAGAACAAGAGACAUGAAGAACCAGAGCGUCCACCAAGUAUCAAAAUGACCGGUGAUGUUGCUGAGGAUAUGAUGAACAUAUUGCUCGGACCCCUGUGGAAUAGUGAACCUGCAGCCUAUGAAUAUAAACCCGAGGCUGUGGUACCGAGGACCGUGAACGUGAAUCUUGCGCCGCAGCGGAAAAACGAUUGGCAGAAGACUGUAGCACAAGCGCAGGGGGCACCUGUGGCGAAAAAGAAAAGCAGCCUGAAAGAUAUGGUGGCCUUUUUUCUUGAGUAG
Molecule: ribosomal RNA, 1170 nt
Filed under: Triticum aestivum (bread wheat)
Lineage: Eukaryota; Viridiplantae; Streptophyta; Magnoliopsida; Poales; Poaceae
Description: partial small subunit ribosomal RNA
Source: RNAcentral